Molecule: microRNA, 22 nt
Filed under: Ascaris suum (pig roundworm)
Lineage: Eukaryota; Metazoa; Nematoda; Chromadorea; Rhabditida; Ascarididae
Description: asu-miR-5359-3p
Source: miRBase by way of RNAcentral
CCAAUAUCCACAAUCCUUGAGC